This 1717-nucleotide long non-coding RNA is filed under the name Piliocolobus tephrosceles (Ugandan red Colobus). Its description in RNAcentral is "lncRNA (ENSPTEG00000028540.1)". Lineage: Eukaryota; Metazoa; Chordata; Mammalia; Primates; Cercopithecidae. The record is from RNAcentral.
CAAACGUUUAAAAUGAAAAAAUCGUAUAUUUCAUUGUUAUUCCUUAUAUUUUAUUUUUGCUAUUCGGAACUGGCAUAUACCAAUGGUAAUGAUGAUUUUGAAAAAGGCAUAACGGAUGAUAGUAAUAAACAUAACGCUGAAGAAAUAAUUACGUAUACAAAAAGCAAAAUAAGACGAAAUCUAAGUGAUGGAGGAGUUGUUAUAACGGAUAUCGAUUCGGAUAAAGAGACUAAAAAACCAGAUGAAAAUAUGUUAGAUAAUCGUUAUAAUCAAUUAAACUGGUAUCUGAUAGAAGAUGGGCAAAUAAAUACGUCUGAGUUUUUUCAUAAUACCUCUAAUAUAGGUCGUUUAUAUAUGUCAAAUAUGAAUAAGCAUUCUAAACUUGGGGAAAUGGGUUACUCUGUACUCUUUAUUGAUUAUACUAAAAACGGUCCAGUAAACGUAGACGCUAGUAUUAAUGGAAAAUUUUUUACAUGUGAAAAUAAUGCAGAAAACAAAUGUCUUCAAACCUUUUAUAAGUCAUAUGAUCUUACUGUUGCAGGUAACGAAAAAGAUGAGCAUUAUAAAACCAUACGUACGCUAUCGAAUAUUUACACUACACAUAUAAAUAUCAAAGACACAAAUUUCAAAUCAGGUUACGUCCUACAACUUAUAAAGUAUAAAAUAAAUAAAAGAAAUCAAGAAAUACUUAUUAUAUUAGAAGGAUAUAUAUUCAUAUGUGUAGGAAAAGUCAAUGCUUCAACAUGUAUAAUGGAAGACCCAUUUUAUAUAACUAACAAUUUUCUAAAUUUGUGUGAGAAUUUAGACCAUAUGCAAAUCCCUAUAACUAUAAGCGAUAAAACAGAGUGUAAUUAUAAAAAUCACAAACCUGUAGUAAAAAAUCCACCUACAGGCUCAUUUGAAUCGGUCUUAUCAAAUAGCAUUCCCUUUUAUCACUUGUAUCCACACUUGUUUAAUAAACUAAAUAUUUUUGAAAAUAUUUGUAAAAAAAUAGGAAUAAAUAAAAAAAGAUGUACAGAUGUAUUUUACAGUUUGUACAUAUUUGUAACAGAAAUAACACAAAAACAUAGAAAAAAUGAUCAACAAAUUAAAGAUUUUUUAAACAGAUGUAUGCAACCUAUUUCUGAGAGUAAAACAGAACAAAGUAUAACUGAUUCUGAUAAAAUAACUAAAGCACCAAAAGAAAACUUAGAUAAUGAACUGACAACUCAUGAAUAUUUAUUGAAGCAACUUACAGCAAGUAUAAAAGAUGACGAAAUAGCCAAAUGUACAGAAGCUUCCAUCAAUUUAAAAACUUUUUAUCUAAAUAAUCUUAUCAAAUCAAAAUCAAGUUCUACAAUUUCUAAUUUAAUAUAUGAUAUAUUCAUAUUGAAACUUAAAUUUAUAUGUUCUAAUAUUCAUAUUUAAGUUAUAAUUUUUAAAAAACGAUAAUAGUUUUUCCCAUUAUUUAUGCAUAUAUAUAUAAAAUUAUGUAUAUACAGUUUUAUUCUGUUUCAAAAAAAAUGAUAAUACAAAGUGUAUUAGAUUCAUUAAAAAAUUUAAUAUCACUAUUUAUCAUUUUUAUUUAUUCUAUUUUUUUUUUUUUUUUUGCUUAUUUUUUUUAUAAACAUAAAUAUCACAAUUACAACUAAAAUCAAUAUUAUAAAUAUUAACAGUAUGCAGUUAAAUCUGCAAUAAUAUAAAUAAAUUAAUAACAAUAUUUUCUUUUUUUUAAACA